CUUAUGAAGAGCGGCGGAGGGAACGGCCCUGUGAUGCCCGGCAACCUGCUUAUUGAGCAAGGUGCCAAUUCCGGCGGUGCAUACCGACAGAUAAGG
This 96-nucleotide non-coding RNA is filed under the name bovine gut metagenome. RNAcentral's name for it is "SAM riboswitch (S box leader)". It matches the Rfam family "SAM riboswitch aptamer (S box leader)". From Rfam's summary of the family: The SAM riboswitch is found upstream of a number of genes which code for proteins involved in methionine or cysteine biosynthesis in Gram-positive bacteria. The SAM riboswitch acts at the level of transcription termination control. The record is from RNAcentral.